GUUUAUUCUUAACAAAGAGUAAAAUCAGGUUGUUAUGGUGUAAAUAGAGAAAUUUUAAUCGAGGCUAGAAAGAUUUAGUUAAAAACUAGGAUUAGAUACCCUACUAUUCUAAAUUGAAAUAAAAAUUGCUAAAUUAGUAAUAGUUAGUUACUUAAAAGUUAAAAAAUUUGGCGGUGACUCAAUCCUCCCAGAGGAACUUGUUUCUUAAUCGAUAAUCCACGCAAAAUCUUACUUAUCCUUGUAAAUAGCAGCUUGUAUACCAUCAUUAUCAGGUAAUUUUAAAAGAAAAAAUUACUAAAUAAGAAUUUAUUACAAAAAUUAGAUCAUGGUGCAGCGCAUGGGUAAGUCGAAAUGAGUUACAAUAAAUUAUUUUAUAUGAAACUGCGAAGGAAUAGUUGUAGGGAAGGUGGAUUUGGUUGUACUUCUAAUUUAAUAAGUUAGCAAGAUAUUGGUUCUGAGUCAUGUACAUAUCGCCCGUCGCUUUCGU
This 487-nucleotide ribosomal RNA is filed under the name Pachygrapsus socius. RNAcentral describes it as "partial 12S ribosomal RNA". The record is from RNAcentral. Lineage: Eukaryota; Metazoa; Arthropoda; Malacostraca; Decapoda; Grapsidae.